GUGAUGGUGGUGGUGAUUUGUUUUGUCUUGUUUUUAAUGUCUCUGUAGUUAAAAAGUCUUGGAGACACUUGCAAUAAACACCUCAGACAAAGGCCUCUUAUCAGAUCCCAGGACCCAGCAGGGCAUAACCUGUGAGAACAUCCCCGUGAGCACCGAAGGGAGGCAUUGUCUGGUGAGCAGGCAUGCUGUUCACCUGGCACAGCCCAGGCAAAUGCUGGCAGUGGAGGAGACGUGAGGAUGCUCAUGUGAAACUCUCAGGGCAUCCCAACCAGUAAGCAGAGCCUGGGGAGGUGGAGGCCCAAAUCUGAGAAAGGGAAAAGAGGUCUGUCCUCAAGUUCUGGGUCAGAGCCCCUUGAAGACAACAGGAAUCUGGGCAGCUCACUAAAAGAGGGGUUCAGAGGUCCAAGGUCAAAGUUCAGUGAUAAGAACAGAAAGCACCAGAGGGGAAAGGCACUUUCUCAGCAAAGAAAUCUCAAUGCCCAGAAUGCAGGGCUGAAGCUGAUUGAAAACCAACUAUAUCCACCUAGAUUGGACCAGGUCAUUAGGAUGGGUGAUUCUUAUCUGUGGGUAAGAAUGAAGUGACACCCCCACCCCACCCACCAGCUAUGGAAGAAGAAGGAAUUACAGAGACUGGAACCCAGAAUUAAAUGUCUUCCAUGUCAACACUCAUGCCAGGAUUAUACAGACACUGGGACAACCUCCUCCCACAACCAGCCUCCUUCCUUGAGGUGACCUAGGGGAAAUGAAGGCAUUCGUGACAAUACUUUCCAUCACACCAGAAGAGAUGAGAGUUUAAACACCAUUAGACUGAGAAGAGAAACUCGGGGGGCUUUUAACUUCAGUCCAACCAGGGAACCACACUGUGGUAGAAAUAGAACUUGCUUCAAACUUCCUGGCUUUGAAUCCCAGUUCUGCACCUGACUUGUGAGUCAGCACUGACAAUGUAAUGAUUUCAGCCUGUUUUGGCCGAAGACUCCAAAACAGUAAGUGCCCAUCACUCCCACAUACCGAAGUGAAAUACUAGACUGCCUAUGCAGGAUUUGAGAACGGAAGAUUGAGAGACAAAAGCACUUAGGAAAGAAAAGAAAUUUACUCUCAAAAGAGCUCAAGGGAGUUAAACUUCAGACAGCUUGGCUUACAAAUAAAUAAAUAAGUAAAUAAAUAAAUAAAUAAAUACAUAAAUAAGUCUAUGAUAGCUAUUUAAAGGGAAAAUCCCUUAACAUUAGCAAGGUUAGCUAGUUUACAUUAGCCUGUUCUGGUGGAUUUUCUCAUAUGUUUAUCAUAUCCUCAAAAGUCAUGACAUAUGGUCAGAUAUCGGUACUACAAAAGCCAGGAUAAAGGUUUUUGUUAGAGUCAGGUAAGAAUCAAAUAACACCCCCAACCCCAUCAGGAAAGGAAGGAGUUACAGAGGCCGGAGACCUAGCUUUACUGGAGAAGCUAAAGGCUUGCUAAUUUCGGACACAAGAAGCAGAAAUGGGCUGCCGCAGCAGAAUACCACAAACCAAACAGCUUCCAAUAACAGAUCUUUAUGUUCUCACCACUGUGGAGCCAGGACUCCAAAACGAAGGUGUCGGCAAGGCCAUGCCCACCUUGAAACCUGUAGGGGAGCAUCCUUUCUCGCCUCUUUCUAGCUUCUGGUGGUUUGCUAGCAAUCCUGGGCGUUUCCUGGCUCACAGCUGCAGGAUUUCAAACUCUGCCUCCAUUGUCGCAUGAUGUUCUCCCCUCCUAUAUCUGUAUCUCUGGAUCUCUUCUUUUAAGGACAUGAGUUAUAUUGGAUUAAAGGCCCACCCUACUUCAGUAUGACCUCAUCUUAACUUAUAACCUCUGCAAAGACCGUUUCCAAAUAACAUCACAUCUUCUGGCACUGAGGAUUAUGUCUUCAACAUGUCAUUUGGAGAGACACAAUGCAACUCGUAACAAUGGCUCAAUCACAUCUUCUCUGCUCCCUCUUUCAACAAUGGCUUCCCCACCCAACUUAAUAUAGGGUGGACAGGGGCAACUUCAGGACCUAAACCAGGGAAAAAGAUAGGAGCCUUCAUAAAAAUGGAACCAUCUAUCCCCAGCACAGGAACCAGAGGGCACUUCUCUACCUCUGCUUUUGAAAUAAAGAAUAUUAUCAUUGUUUCCUCCCCUGAGGAAAUAGAAGAGUAGCCAGCUCAGCUAGGGCUGUCACCUUCCUGAGGUUGCUCCACACUGGCUGACAGCCAACAGCUGCUGCUUAAAAAAUAAAAUACCCUCAUCAUAAAUAAGGAAAUUACUGAAUAAGGCUGGAAUUUCAAGAGAGGAAAUAGGUUGUACUCAUUUUCCUGCUCCAUAAGAAAGAGGACACGUGUGACUUCAGGGAGAGGCUGUGGACCAAGUGCGUCAGUACUGAGAGUGGUAGUGAGGGUCCCAGGCUGGUGCAGCAUGAAGAGUACCACAAGAAAUGCCCACCUGUGAGACCGCUGAGGCCGGGCAGCGCCUAUCCACCUCCCCACCCACUUUUUCUCAGAUCACAGGCCUGGGAUCUUGGUACAGUCCAAAUGGUGGGGAAAGAGCAUGGAGAAUAACAAAUACAGAACACUUCUUGUUGACUUCUUCAGUGCUUGUCACGGAUUGGAUUCCCUGGGAAGCAGAUGCUGUGUUGGAGAUGUGCACAUCACAAUGUUAUUGCAGGAGCAUGUUCUUGGGAAUACAAAUGUGGGGGAGUGAAGAGAAGAAAGCAGGAUGAAGCAGAAGGAAAAGAGGAGCUGCAAUCCAGUGCCCAAAGAGCUGUAGAACUGAGAUCACUCUGAAGAACUGUCCCAAACUGGAAGAAGAGGGGCAAGUAAUUAUAAUACCCUAUUGAUAAUCAUUGGAUGAGAGCUUCCCUGGGGAAGGAGGCAUUACUUUGUUCAUGGUGGGUCCCUUAAGCUAACGCAGUUUCAUCACAACGAUGCUCUCAAUCUGGAGUACACACAUCAAGAGAUGGGCAGACCCUUCAGGAGAGGUUUAAUGCAUCCAGUACACAUCGUGGUCGCUCCGCACAUGCUGGUACCCCCUGCUCCAUUAGCAGAAAUUGCUAAUUCUGAAGGUCUCCCCAUUUAAUGUAAUCCACCUCUCCCUCAUUUAAUCACAAAUACAUUCACGCCCUUCCCAGCAGGAGACAACUGAAUAUCACGUUGUGGGCUGUUCUUCAGGUACGUUCAGGUGAUAUCCAUUCCUCUUCUAGGUGCAGGUUCUCAAGGUCUACUAGCCUGUGGGCAAUGGGAGAUUGGUUAAACGAAUUGAGACACACUCAUAUGGUAGAUCAUUAAAACUAAAGUUGUAGAAGAUAAUCAUUAUAAGAGAAAAAGCUUCUGGGAUGUUGUUAAGGGGAAGAAGAUAAUAAAACAAUGUAUACCAUAUAAUUCCACUUCUGGGGAAAAAACAUACAUAUGAGAAAAAUCUGUAAGAAGGUACAUUAAAAUCCAGUAGUUACUUCUGGGGUGGUAGGAUUAUUGGUUAUUCUACUCUUUCUCCUUUUCUUUAAAUAUGUUUUCUAGAUCAGACAAAAAUAAUGUUACUUUUGAAAUACUGAAAAUAUUAUUUUUCCUCUAAAAAUUAUAGAUGUCUUAUGAGGAGUAUGUUUGUGGCUACAUUAGUCAAUUAAUGAUUGCUUGACCACUAGUUGGAGAAAUCAGGAAUGAGACUUUAAGUGGAGCUCGUAUGUUAACAGUGGCGGCUUCAGAGCCUGGAAGAUUUAGGAAAGGACUAGUCUGGGUAAAAGGAGAAGGUUUAGACCUAUGCUGUUCAAGACAGAGGCCACUAGCCACAUGUGACCACUGAGCACUUGAAAUAUGGCUAGUUCAAAUUGAGAUGUGCUUUAAGUGUAAAAAAAAAAUAAGAUUUCAAAGAUUUAGUAUUAAAAAUAUUUUAAAAUCCUCAAAAAUUUUUAAUAUUACAUCUUGAAAUAAUUAUAUUUUGUAUAUAUUGGGUAAAUAAAAUAUAAUAUUAAAAAUGAUUCACAUCUUUGUUUUGUACCGUGCUGAUUUAGAUACUUGUCAGGAAAUGUAAGUUCUCUGAAACACCCCCCAAAGGGAAAAGAAUAUGAAAAAGCAUUUGCCUCACAGGAAACCUGCCAACCUUUCUGUUUUACUUGGUGCUUUAGUAGGACAACCACUGGAAAGGGCAGUUUGUUGUCAAAUGAGCAUGUCAAAUGAACUCCAACCACUGCAAGGCAAAAUGAAACCCACGCUACCUAAAAGGUGUAGAUAUCAGUCCAUGUAAUUGAAAUCUGUCGACUUGGGGGUAAGUUAAAGAAACACCGUGUUGUUGUAGAAGGCCAUUGACAUCUUCUCCUGGUAAAACCCCCAGAGGGUGCUGUCUUAAGGUGUUGGACAGAAACUGCCCCAUGGCAUCUACACACUGGAUGUUGAUUUGAGUUAAACUGAGCAUUUGACAGAAGGAUUCUGACCCAUUCCCUGGAGUGAUUUGGGAAGGUAUUUAUAAAAAGGAAUGAUGUGCUCCAGUGAUUUACAAUAAUGGCAUAUAUUGUUUUGUCUUUGGUUUGUUUCUUGAUUGUAAAUAUUGGUCAGUGUCCAAAAUUAAGAUGCAAUCACUGGUUACCCCAACCUGGGAUGUUUAUUUGGAAAAACACAAAGUGGUUUAAAAUUCAUACAAAUCACUCUAAACCUGGGUACACUCUUUUUCUUUAAAUCUUAGAUUCUGCUGUCAGAUCAAGAGAAAAAGGGAAAGCUUUCAUAUUGCUCAAAAUGAUUUUUUAAAAUUUCCUUCAUUUCUUACUUCCUUCUCAACUCUUUUCCACUCUAAAACAUUCUCAACUCCCUAACUCAUUAAGAUAUUUUAUUCAUAAAGAGAACUUAAAUUAAGAUUUAAAUAAAUAUUUAUUAAACUGUUUUCCAGAUUUACAAAAUCCAGCUGGGUAACUCAUUGAAAAUAAGUACUGUGUAAUCUGUUGUCUAGUAAAAAGGGUUUGAACAGGAUGUUUAGGCCACAUCUCAGCUCCAUCAUUCCUUCUGGUAUCCUGGCAUCACUGGGUAAGUUCACAGUUUAAGGAAGGAAUCUGAGGUGGUAGAACCAGGUGUGCUGGAGAGGCAGCCUAGGUCAGUGGCUAAGAGUGAAAUUCUGGCUUCACCACUUUCUAGCUCUUACAACCUUAGGAAGGUUAUGUAAUUUCAUAUUAUUAUUAUUAUUAAAGCCUUAUGAUAUAGUUAUUAUUAUUAUCUCCAUUUUAAAGAUGAGAAAACACAGAGCACAAAACCAUAAAGACUGUGUCUGGGAUGCAGUAAGUGUUAUGUAAGGGUGUUAAGCAAGUAAGCAUACAAAAUGCAGGACCAAAAGAAGCAACACCAGCCCCCAAACUACACCAUGUGAAUUUCCAAAGAACCAAGUGUUCACACUACAUCAAAACGAGCCUGUUGAAUCUUUUGGACUCUGAGAAAUAAAGCAUAGUUAUUAUCAAAUUAAGAUUUAAAUUCAAUUCCUCAGCUGCGUCUUGAUCACUGGAUACCACUUUAAUAAUCACAUUAUUAAAGAAAGUUCCAAGUUUGGGGUGGAAUACUGCAGAUGAGGAAAGUAGAAAUUACUGCUAUAUUAUGAUCUACACUUUGUCUUAAUAUGAUCUGGCCCAUAUAAAAAUGCUCCAGAACAGUUGCAAAAUAUGGAUAUUUUUCUUUGAAAACCAGCCUUUUGUCUUUAUAACUUACAAAGCCAUUUUUCCCAGUCCACAAAGCUAUUUGGUCACAAAUUUAAGAAACCAGUGAUUCCUGAGAUAUAUGUGCUUUCACACUUCAGGAAAUAAUUUCAAAAUGAUUUUGGCAGUCUACCCAUUUUUAUAAAGAUAAAAAACUAAAAUAUUAUUUUGUCUUAGAAAUAAGUAUUAAUAGAGACAUUAUUAUAUCUUUGCCCCUAGAGCUUUAGAAGCAAAGAUUUGUCUUUCUCUUCCUCUCUCUCUCACUCUUCCCUAUUUCCUCCUUCCUGGUGAGUCUUACUUCUGUAUACUAGAGUAAUUAUAUCUAUUUUUUUGAAUGCUUUUGUAUGUAUAUUAUAAAGUGUUUCCUUUCUUGUUCUCAAUUCAAAUGGAAUACUGAACUGUGCUCUCUGUAUACUAAGUUAACUGGGGCCUGUCGGGGGGGUGGGGGGAGGGGGGAGGGAUAGCAUUAGGAGGAAAACCUAAUGUAAAUGAUGAGUUAAUGGGUCCAGCAAACCAACAUGGCACAUGUAUACAUAUGUAACAAACCUGCACGUUGUGCACAUGUACCCUAGAACUUAAAGUAUAAUAAAAAAAAAAAUUUAAAAAAAAA
This 6263-nucleotide long non-coding RNA is filed under the name Homo sapiens (human). RNAcentral describes it as "HSALNT0221145". The record is from RNAcentral. Lineage: Eukaryota; Metazoa; Chordata; Mammalia; Primates; Hominidae.